Molecule: ribosomal RNA, 1371 nt
Filed under: uncultured Flavobacterium sp.
Lineage: Bacteria; Pseudomonadati; Bacteroidota; Flavobacteriia; Flavobacteriales; Flavobacteriaceae
Description: bacterial SSU rRNA
Rfam family: Bacterial small subunit ribosomal RNA
Source: RNAcentral
GCAGUCGAGGGGUAUAGUUCUUCGGAAUUAGAGACCGGCGCACGGGUGCGUAACGCGUAUGCAAUCUACCUUUUACAGGGGAAUAGCCCAGAGAAAUUUGGAUUAAUGCCCCAUAGUAUAAUUUAUUCGCAUGAGUAGAUUAUUAAAGUUCCAACGGUAAAAGAUGAGCAUGCGUCCCAUUAGCUAGAUGGUAAGGUAACGGCUUACCAUGGCGACGAUGGGUAGGGGUCCUGAGAGGGAGAUCCCCCACACUGGUACUGAGACACGGACCAGACUCCUACGGGAGGCAGCAGUGAGGAAUAUUGGUCAAUGGACGCAAGUCUGACCAGCCAUGCCGCGUGCAGGAUGACGGUCCUAUGGAUUGUAAACUGCUUUUGUACGAGAAGAAACAUCCCUACGUGUCGGGACUUGACGGUAUCGUAAGAAUAAGGAUCGGCUAACUCCGUGCCAGCAGCCGCGGUAAUACGGAGGAUCCAAGCGUUAUCCGGAAUCAUUGGGUUUAAAGGGUCCGUAGGCGGUCUAAUAAGUCAGUGGUGAAAGCCCAUCGCUCAACGGUGGAACGGCCAUUGAUACUGUCUGACUUGAAUUAUUAGGAAGUAACUAGAAUAUGUAGUGUAGCGGUGAAAUGCUUAGAGAUUACAUGGAAUACCAAUUGCGAAGGCAGGUUACUACUAAUGGAUUGACGCUGAUGGACGAAAGCGUGGGUAGCGAACAGGAUUAGAUACCCUGGUAGUCCACGCCGUAAACGAUGGAUACUAGCUGUUGGGAGCAAUUUCAGUGGCUAAGCGAAAGUGAUAAGUAUCCCACCUGGGGAGUACGUUCGCAAGAAUGAAACUCAAAGGAAUUGACGGGGGCCCGCACAAGCGGUGGAGCAUGUGGUUUAAUUCGAUGAUACGCGAGGAACCUUACCAAGGCUUAAAUGUAGAUUGACCGGUUUGGAAACAGACUUUUCGCAAGACAAUUUACAAGGUGCUGCAUGGUUGUCGUCAGCUCGUGCCGUGAGGUGUCAGGUUAAGUCCUAUAACGAGCGCAACCCCUGUUGUUAGUUGCCAGCGAGUCAUGUCGGGAACUCUAACAAGACUGCCAGUGCAAACUGUGAGGAAGGUGGGGAUGACGUCAAAUCAUCACGGCCCUUACGCCUUGGGCUACACACGUGCUACAAUGGCCGGUACAGAGAGCAGCCACUGGGUGACCAGGAGCGAAUCUAUAAAACCGGUCACAGUUCGGAUCGGAGUCUGCAACUCGACUCCGUGAAGCUGGAAUCGCUAGUAAUCGGAUAUCAGCCAUGAUCCGGUGAAUACGUUCCCGGGCCUUGUACACACCGCCCGUCAAGCCAUGGAAGCUGGGGGUGCCUGAAGUCGGUGACCGCAA